UAUGCCUACCCGAGCGAUAUGGGAGCGAUAUAUUUUUGCAAAUAUUUUGACGCGAUGGCAGCGCCAUGUGGUAGAAUGAAGAAAUAUUAAUGAAAGCAGUCGUGUUGACGGAUGUCAUUGUCAUUUCAUCCAAGAAUGCAAGGAAAAAAAAUUUUAAUUUCAAUUUCAAUGUAUAAUUUUUAUUUUCGCCUAAUUUUUCAGGGAUCAAAAGACGCAAACAAAACAUCUUUAUACGUAUAUUCAAAGAAUAAUUUGUAUUAAGCAAACCUUAGUCAAUACAGGUGAUUCUGGAUAUGCUCUAAGUCAGUUGAUGUUGACAUCCAUCCAAAAUGCAUUACCUGCUACUCUAGAAGAAAUAUUCAUCACAGAAGAACUGAAUCCCCUAUAGAGAGAUGCAAUGGGAUUUUAAAAUGGAGGCAUAGAAUUUUACACUCCAACCAUGGCUGAAUAAAAUAAAUAAUAUUGCAUGCACUGUGCUGCACAAUUUGUGCAUUGGUAUGCAUAAUGUACCCCCUAUUGGUUUAGGUGAUGAAGAAAACAAUCAUAUAGAUAUUGAUUAUGGAAAUGUCAAUGGAAUAAAUAUAGAAGGUAGAAUUCGUGAUAGAGAUCUGCUCACAGGAAGAAGACUCCAACAAAUGCUAAUUCAAAUUAAUUUUAGAAAUUAAUUCAAUAAGUUUGGAAAAAUGUAUGUUCUGUGUUAUUUGUACUUUAUGUAAAUAUUGUUCUGAAGCUAUUUUCUUGUGGCAUUUUUAUGAUUAACUAUUUAGAUGGGAAAUAAGCCACAAUUAAAUUGAAAAAAAUAAUUUUAUUAACGUUUCGACGUCCAAAUCGGGUGUCGUUGUCAAAAUACAAAAGACUACUAAAUUAAACAAAAAUGUUGCUAAGUAAAAAAUUCUUCUAAUAAUUUAUUUAAUCUGACUCAUUUAUAUUGGCAAUUCAGACAUAUAUUAUACAUUUUAAAGUAGAAGACUUUAAAAUGAUAUUGCCAAUAUUUAUGAGUUGCGUUCCUGGGACGACUUAACUGAAAGAUAGUUCAUUCGAUUACAUGAAAUCAACCUCAACUCAAGAAUAUCCAUCACAAAAAAAAUCAUAGCAUGUGAUCUGUCUUUAAAAAGACAACCAAAUGCAAAAAAAGUGAUUUACUAUGGAUUCUCUAACGCGAGAAUUUUACUGUCAUCGUUGCAUUUGGUUGUCUUUUUAAAGACAGAUCACAUGCUAUGAUUUUUUUUUUGUGACGGAUAUUCUUGAGUUGAGGUUGAUUUCAUGUAAUCGAAUGAACUAUCUUUCAGUAAAUUCGUCCCAGGAACGCAACUCAUAAAUAUUGGCAAUAUCAUUUUAAAGUCUUCUACUUUAAAAUGUAUAAUAUAUGUCUGAAUUGCCAAUAUAAAUGAGUCAAAUUAAAUAAAUUAUUAGAAGAAUUUUUUACUUAGCAACAACAUUUUUGUUUAAUUUAGUAGUAUUUUGUAUUUUGACAACGACAUCUGAGUUGGGUGUCGAAACGUUAAUAAAAUUAUUUAUUUAAUUGUGGCUUAUUUCCUAUCUAAAUAGUUAAUUAUGUAAAUAUGUAGUGUGUUAGCUGUUGUUUUAUGAACAACAUAAAACAUUAUGUGAAAUAUUGACUGUAUGUUAUCCAUGACACAGAACAAAAGUUAAAAUGCAUGUUUUUACAUU
Molecule: long non-coding RNA, 1671 nt
Filed under: Diabrotica virgifera virgifera (western corn rootworm)
Lineage: Eukaryota; Metazoa; Arthropoda; Insecta; Coleoptera; Chrysomelidae
Description: uncharacterized LOC126887215
Source: RNAcentral